Haliotis rubra (blacklip abalone) is the source of this 117-nucleotide long non-coding RNA. RefSeq lists it as uncharacterized. NCBI's taxonomy places the organism in Eukaryota, Metazoa, Mollusca, Gastropoda, Lepetellida, Haliotidae. The record is from RefSeq and is a predicted model, not a curated record. The transcript has 3 exons.
AUAUAUAUCUGGAUUACCUUUUGGAUGUGUUUGCAUAUCUGUCUGGGGAAUUGUGGCCUUGAAUGAGAACUUUACGGGGCAAUGCACAUCAGAAAAUAGGGGUCUAACAUUACUCAC